Molecule: ribosomal RNA, 496 nt
Filed under: uncultured bacterium
Lineage: Bacteria
Description: partial 16S ribosomal RNA
Rfam family: Bacterial small subunit ribosomal RNA
Source: RNAcentral
GACGAACGCUGGCGGCGUGCCUAAUACAUGCAAGUUGAGCGCUGAAGGUUGGUACUUGUACCGACUGGAUGAGCAGCGCACGGGUGAGUAACGCGUGGGGAAUCUGCCUUCGAGCGGGGGACAACAUUUGGAAACGAAUGCUAAUACCGCAUAAAAACUUUAAACACAAGUUUUAAGUUUGAAAGAUGCAAUUGCAUCACUCAAAGAUGAUCCCGCGUUGUAUUAGCUAGUUGGUGAGGUAAAGGCUCACCACGGCGAUUCUACAUAGCCGACCUGAGAGGGUGAUCGGCCACAUUGGGACUGAGACACGGCCCAAACUCCUACGGGAAGCAGCAGUAGGGAAUCUUCGGCAAUGGACGAAAGUCUGACCGAGCAACGCCGCGUGAGUGAAGAAGGUUUUCGGAUCGUAAAACUCUGUGGUAGAGAAGAACGUUGGUGAGAGUGGAAAGCUCAUCAAGUGACGGUAACGACCCAGAAAGGGACGGCUAACUACGUG